This 831-nucleotide small RNA is filed under the name Pongo abelii (Sumatran orangutan). Its description in RNAcentral is "retained intron". Lineage: Eukaryota; Metazoa; Chordata; Mammalia; Primates; Hominidae. The record is from RNAcentral.
GCUUUGCUAUUGUGCUUUUGUGUGUCCUCCCCUCAGUGGGAGUCAGUCACUGUCCACUGCACCUCCUCGGAGAGUAUGCAGGUCACUAAAGAAGAGACAGGAGCAUAGAUAUAGCCACAGGUAUGCUUUGUCUGGGGUCACAAACAGAGGAGGGCCACUAGGGAAGGUGCCACAGCUCAUACCCAACUGGCCCUCUUGAAAUGUGAGCAGCCCUCUACACCCCGUGAAACCUUGAUUUUGUUUUAUGUUAAUAAUCCAGAGCUUGUCAAGCACAAAAUCUCAUCCCCGCAAGGGCUGCUCCUGGGAAUUCCCAAUUCUCACUGCCAGUUCUUCUUUCUUAAGGGAGUGAGGAGGGCAAAGGGAAAGAGGAAGAGGGAGAGGCAGAGGCCAGCAGCAGGGCUCAAGGUCACGGCUGUCUUUGGAAGAAAUCGCUGCCAAUACAGUUAAUCUUGACUGUGAAACUCUGCAGGCCUGUCAGCUCUCUCGGAUGAGAAUCCUCAGCAAUGGCUGAAGACUCGCCUGUUCCUGUUCUUCCUUUCUUGAUUUCAGAUGUUUGUGGGCCUCCUGUUUUGGUUCCAGUUUUUCUGUGGCUUCUCUGCAUCUGCCAUGAUUGACCAGUGGUAUCUAAUCUUCUUUAAUCUGCUCUUCUCGUCACUUCCCCCGCUUGUGACUGGGGUGCUGGACAGGGAUGUGCCGGCCAACGUGCUGCUGACCAACCCGCAGCUCUACAAGAGUGGCCAGAACAUGGAGGAAUACCGGCCACGAACGUUCUGGUUUAACAUGGCUGACGCCACCUUCCAGAGCCUCGUUUGCUUUUCCAUUCCUUACCUG